GAGGGCGGUGACAGCUAUUCCAGCCUGCCUAACCCGACUGUUGAUCGUCAGACACUUAACAAAUCAAAAUAAUAUUUGCAAUGUAUUGAAAAGAUUGACUACAAAAAUAUUGACUACUAAAAGGCAGACUGCGUUGGAUAAUCCAGAAUGUUGGAUAAGCGAAUGUUGGAUAAGUGAGACUCUACUGUAUAUACUGCUCUUCUCCCCCAGGGGGAUUUUACCUGAAUUUUUCAUACCAAUGAUGUUUAAUUUUGUUUUAAUGUUUGUAUAUUUGUAGAUUUUGAAUUGUACAGAAAUGUUUUUAAUGGCAGCUACUUUUAGUCUCCUGGUGGGGAAAAAAGGUGGGGUAUAAAUAAACAUAAUAAUAAUAAUUUAAAUGUUCUUGCAGUUUCUAGUGAUAGUUCAUGGCAUGUUCUGGCAUUUGUACAUAGAAGCUGCUUAUUUGAAAGUUUGGGCCAUCAUGUUACGAUGGUCAUGAUAGUACAAUCUUCUGUUUCCCAGACAUACUCAUUUAAUCAUAGACUGACAUUUCAUUACUGUUAUCAGCCCUUCAUGUCAUGGGACUCUAAGAACUUUCUAUGAUCUCGCCCACAGAGGCUGAAAAAUUAAGAACAGAGAUGGUAGACUAAAUUAAUUCUUAUGUAAUUCCACUGGGCAAGAAUAUGUGAUCUUUCUUUGGGUUGUUGAAAGAAUGGCAUGUAUUUCAAGCAGAGAAGUGCUUAAAGACAUUUCUGAUGAUUGAAAUGAAAGAGGGCUACAGAUCUGAAAAAUGAAUCUAAAGAAAAUAUUUUACCUUGAACUAAAGACUUGAAAUCAAAUGUUGAAAAAUGAAUGUGAAGAGAAUGUUGUACCUUGGACUAAAGACUUGAAAUCAAAUGAUGUGAAGUGGUGUCAGCUGAAGUUGUCAACUGAAGACAAAGAAAUGGGAGGUUAAUAAACUGCAUCAAGAAGUGUAAGAUAAGAUUAGAUUUGAUGCUUUGGCCUUGACUUUAUAGAGGAAAACAGAAGAAUACAAGAGAUUUACUUGCAACUGAAGUAAAGCCUUUACGGAAACAUUCCCUCAGAUAUAUAGAUAGAUAGGCACACAGACACAUUUCUAGAGUGUUCUUCAGUAAUGAUUGCACUUUUAUUUUGCUACAGAAAAUCUUUAAAAUUAGUUGAAAGAAAGUAACAUCUGUUAUUUAAUCCGGGUUGACAUUCUGCGUUUGUCAGACCUCAUCUAGAAUACUGUGUGUAGUUCUGGACACCACAAUUCAAGAUAUUGAUAACCCGAAACGUGUACAAACAAGGAUGACCAAAACGGCAAAAGUUCUGGAAUCCAUGCCCUAUGAGCAAUGGCUUAAAGAGCUGGGUAUGUUUAGAAUGGAUAAGAGAGGUUAAGAGGUAAUAAAUCUGAAUUCUUUUUUAAAAAUCCAACUGGAAAUAGAGUUAUGUUCACUUUUAGUUUCUCUUCUUCCCUUCCUCUUUCUUUCUUUCUUCUUUUCUUUUUUGCCUUCAAGUAGUAUGGUUUGAACCAUUUUAUAACCAGGAACAGAAAAAAUAUUGUUUCCUAAAAUGCCAGCAAACCAUCAGUGGGUGGCCUUGCAGUCUGAAAAUCAGCCUAUGUCAGCCCACAGGCAGUGUUUUGUUCAUUUCUGAUCUAGCCAAUAUUGUUUUGAACUAGCUUAAAAUGAUUAUUUGAUUAUAGAGUAGAAAAUAGAUAUACGGUCCGUUGUGUUGCUUUUAAAACUAAAAGGUAAAAUAUAAAUUAACUUAAUAAAAUAAGGAAAUAAGCAGGUCUCGCAACUCUAUUUUCUUAAGAGACUUAUUUUUAAUUAAACCAGAAGGUAUUUUAAAACCCAUUCUGGUAUAGAUGAUGCUAUCUAUAGAUUUCUAGACUUUCGAACACCAUAUGACAGGCAGUCCAAAUGGCCCAGGAAACCUUGCACAUUACUAUGAUACACCGAUACACACAAGAUAACUAAUUGUUUUUAUGGGACUUCAGAAGAAAGUGCCAAUAUAUAUUGGAGGUUUCCUGGGCUCGAUGUUUCAUAUUAUGAACUUGUUUGAUUUCUAAGGAACAAUAGCUUUGCUUAGUUUUGUUCAUAUUGCUGCUCAUGAACUUGUA
Molecule: long non-coding RNA, 2107 nt
Organism: Anolis carolinensis (green anole)
Lineage: Eukaryota; Metazoa; Chordata; Lepidosauria; Squamata; Anolidae
Source: Ensembl